Molecule: unclassified non-coding RNA, 208 nt
Filed under: uncultured fungus
Lineage: Eukaryota; Fungi
Description: sequence contains ITS1
Source: RNAcentral
UUUAUGCUUAUUUUAUUUUCAUAUUCAGACUUGUAUUGGUUUUAAAAGGGUUUAAAAAUGGGUCUCUGACGGGUGCACGCCAGCCGGAGCCAACGGGGCAAGAAGCCACGACCCGCCAAAGCAACAAAGGUAGUUAACAUGGGGUUGGAGAUUGGGCCUAAAAGACCCCAACUCGAUAAUGAUCCUUCCGCAGGUUCACCUACGGAAA